GAUGAACGCUGGCGGCGUGCUUAACACAUGCAAGUCGAACGAAGCACUUUAUUUGAUUUCCUUCGGGACUGAUUAUUUUGUGACUGAGUGGCGGACGGGUGAGUAACGCGUGGGUAACCUGCCUUGUACAGGGGGAUAACAGUUGGAAACGGCUGCUAAUACCGCAUAAGCGCACAGCAUCGCAUGAUGCAGUGUGAAAAACUCCGGUGGUAUAAGAUGGACCCGCGUUGGAUUAGCUAGUUGGUGAGGUAACGGCCCACCAAGGCGACGAUCCAUAGCCGACCUGAGAGGGUGACCGGCCACAUUGGGAGUGGGACACGGCCCAAACUCCUACGGGAGGCAGCAGUGGGGAAUAUUGCACAAUGGGCGAAAGCCUGAUGCAGCGACGCCGCGUGAGCGAAGAAGUAUUUCGGUAUGUAAAGCUCUAUCAGCAGGGAAGAUAAUGACGGUACCUGACUAAGAAGCACCGGCUAAAUACGUG
This 481-nucleotide ribosomal RNA is filed under the name uncultured bacterium. RNAcentral's name for it is "partial 16S ribosomal RNA". It matches the Rfam family "Bacterial small subunit ribosomal RNA", at positions 28 to 507 of the family's 1533-position model. The record is from RNAcentral.